GGCAGCGGGGUUGCACCUGGCGCGCGGCUGCCGCUCCUCUGCCCGCCUCCCAGGCCCCGCAGCCCCGCGCCGCCUCCUGGACCCGGACCCGGACCCGGUCCCGGACCCUCCGUGGGAUCCCAGCUCCUCCUCGAGCCGCCACGGGCCGCCAUGGCCUCUCUGGGGGACCUGGUGCGCGCCUGGCACCUGGGCGCGCAGGCCGUAGAUCGCGGGGACUGGGCCCGCGCCUUGCACCUGUUCUCGGGCGUCCCGGCGCCGCCCGCCAGGCUGUGCUUCAACGCGGGCUGCGUGCACCUGCUGGCCGGGGACGCCGAGGCCGCGCUGCGGGCAUUUGACCAAGCCGUGACCAAGGACACCUGCAUGGCGGUUGGCUUCUUCCAGCGAGGAGUGGCCAACUUCCAGCUGGCGAGGUUCCAGGAGGCUCUGUCUGACUUCCGGCUGGCCCUGGCACAGCUGAGGGGCCACCCUGCCAUCGACUACACCCAGCUGGGCCUGCGGUUCAAGCUGCAAGCCUGGGAGGUGCUAUACAAUGUGGCGUCGGCACAGUGCCAGCUGGGGCUCUGGACAGAGGCGGCCGGCAGCCUAAGGGAGGCCAUGUCCAAGUGGCCGGAGGGGUCCCUGAAUGGCCUGGACUCAGCCCUAGACCAACUGCAGAGACGGGGCUCGCUGCCGCCACGGCAGGUUCCCAGGGGCGAGGUCUUCCGGCCCCACCGGCGACAUCUGGAGCACCUGGAGCCCGUGGAUUUCCUGGGCAAGGCCAAGGUGGUGGCCUCUGCCAUCCCCGAUGACCAGCGGUGGGGUAUCCGCCCUCAGCAGCCACAGGUGGGUUUGCGGCCCCUCAGGCCCCGCCUGGCCUCACCCAGCUUUGUGGGAAAGAAAACCCUGUACAAGCUUGGAGCCCUCCUGGGGCCGCAAAGUUCCUCUGACGGGAGUGUGGGGCAGCCGUCCCGUCCCUGUGUGAGACCUGGGGAGGCCACUCUUCAAAGUUCAGCCCCCGACCCUUUACCAGAGCGAGGCUGUUGCUUUGUAUCCACAGGGACUGGGAGCGAACCUCGAUGCCAGGUAGGAGGGGCCGGCUGGGCCCUGCGAGCACGUCCCUUUCCUGCGGGCAGAGGCCCUCCCCACGGGGCCAUUCGGGCCGGGCACAGGAGGGCACUCAGAUGGGCCGGGCCUGAGAGCCUCCCUCCUCUUCCCAGGUCCCCAGUCAUGGACUCCCCAAGAGCUGGCACCCACCAGGGCCCCCUCGAUGCAGAGACGGAGGUCGGUGCUGACCGCUGCACGUCGACCGCCUACCAGGAGCAGAGGCCCCAGGUGGAGCAAGUUGGCAAACAGGCUCCUCUCCCCCCAGGACCGCCAGCAACGGGGGCGCCUGGCCCCGACCCCUGUGAGGACCCCGCGGGUGCUGGGGGAGCAGGUGCGGGGGGCUCCGAGCCCCUGGUGACUGUCACCGUGCAGUGCACCUUCACCGUGGCCCUGAGGGCGAGAAGAGGAGCCGACUUGUCCAGCCUGCGGGCACUGCUGGGCCAGGCCCUCCCUCACCAGGCCCAGCUUGGGCAACUCAGGCCCCACCCUGGAGGCCCCCUCUGAGGAACCUCUUUGCAGUUACCAAGCCCCAGGUGAGGACAGGCAGUGGGUCCCCAUCCCCGAGGAGGAGUCGCUGCAGAGGGCCUGGCUGGACGCGGCUGCUGGCCCCAGGGGGCUGCAGCUGCAGUGCAGGGGAGCUGGGGGCCGGCCAGUCCUCUACCAGGUGGUGGCCCAGUACGGCUACUCAGCCCAGGGGCCAGAGGACCUGGGUUUCCAACAGGGGGACACGGUGGACGUCCUGUGUGAAGUGGACGAGGCAUGGCUGGAGGGCCACUGUGACGGCCGCAUCGGCAUCUUCCCCAAGUGCUUCGUGGUCCCCGCCGGCCCUCGGAUGUCAGGAGCCCCCGGCUGCCUGCCCCGAUCCCAGCAGGGAGAUCAGCCCUAGCAAUGCUGUGUACAUGAUGUUUUAAUAAAAACCAUGCUCACUG
Molecule: non-coding RNA, 2012 nt
Organism: Macaca mulatta (Rhesus monkey)
Lineage: Eukaryota; Metazoa; Chordata; Mammalia; Primates; Cercopithecidae
Source: RefSeq, a predicted model, not a curated record